Long non-coding RNA from Chiloscyllium plagiosum (whitespotted bambooshark), 1569 nucleotides. RefSeq lists it as uncharacterized. NCBI's taxonomy places the organism in Eukaryota, Metazoa, Chordata, Chondrichthyes, Orectolobiformes, Hemiscylliidae. The record is from RefSeq and is a predicted model, not a curated record.
GAGUUACAAAGUGUUGUCUGAUCGUGACUUCACUGGACUGUUCGAACCUGCAAUUUAUACGGUGGCAGGAUAUGGAUGAUGUGAUUUACAAGCUGUACGCAAGGAGCUGUUUUUUGGGCAUUGUUAUCUAAGCAAUGACUGUCACUGUAUUCGUAUUGGUAAAUUAACAGCCGGUAGAGCAGCAGAAUUCAUGGGACGCGCUAUUCCAAGGUUCAAAACAGAUAAUGAUCAGCACGGACGCGCAGACAGUUUCACCAGAACAAGAGUAAGGAAGCGAGUAUGAGUGAAACUUGAACAUGGGAACUUGAGUGUGAUGAGCAACUGGAAAUGGACCGGAAAGAAAGCAGAAUUCUACACUGUAAAGGAAAGAAGCACUGAACAAGAGGAUUCAUCAGCAUGAAGGGGAAACACCAGAUAACAGAAAAGAAAGCAUUGGAAUUGAAUGAGGAAGUUCAACUCAGAAUGCAACAAAAAUGUGCUUGGGGCUACUUUAUUCUACACCUGUUGACAAAAAAAAGAACAUAUUGAAGGAGGACCUCAGGUGCUUAUACAAUAUUACCUAGUAUGAGCAUACCCUAAUUGCAACUGAACAAUAUCAACAAGUCUGCCUCCUGCUUGGACUUGAUUCAAUGCAUCCUUCUCUCUUUCACUUGCUUGGUUACAUCUUUCAAUUAGGAACUCAUUAGGCAUUUUAUUUGCAAUGAUAAUUUUUGGACCCUGGGAGGGUUAUACUCUCAUGCACUGAUCUAUUCAGACAUGUGGAACACUGGUUCAAAAUGUUAAGAUAUGUAUCUCUUGAUAUUUUACCUAACAGAAUCUUAUCGAUCAAGUCUUGAAUAUUUCAAUUUACUGAGCAUCCACAAUCUAUUGAGGGAAAAAAAAGUGUCAGAUUUUCACCGCACCAUGUGAGAAAACCAUACUGAUUCAACUCAAAAAUAGCCCAGCUCAUAUGACCUACCUUUUGAACACCUUUGUUGAGGAAUCGCACUAUUGAGAAAUUCUGGCUUUGAUACCACUGGUGACAUAUUUAAAGCCAGAUCAUGUAUUAGUUCAAAUACUUUAAGUCAGAACCCCGCACAUUUUGGGUACUUGAGUCUCCAAAUUUAAGACAUAGUCCAGAGAAAAUGAAAGCCUUUUUCCCACUUUGUGGAAAGACCUGGAGUUAUUGAUGAAUGAUGUAGUAGAGUGGAUAGCUGCUCUUUUUCUAGCUGAAGAAAUGAGACUGCAUCAUUACGUAUAGCAAGCCUGAUUUCACCUUGGGUCAGUACAGAGUCCCAUGAAAAUCAGGCAGAAGGUCAAUGAUCAUUUGAUUUCUGCCAAGGGUAAGUGCCACCAACACCUCUCCCAUUCAGAGUCACCAUUACUCUAACUCUUUCACUGCAACACUCAUCUCAUCAUGUUCAUGAACUACAACUAUCAGUAUUAUUUUCACCCAUCAGUUAUCAUCUGCCUUAUCCUCCCAAACUACUAAUUUUCCCUGUCCUCUGUUUAUCCUACUCACUUACUGAGGACAGCUCACCAAUUCCUCUGUUCAUGUGUGACUAUUAAUUGUUCUUCCAUCCACUUCCA